Vibrio panuliri is the source of this 121-nucleotide non-coding RNA. The record is from Rfam. NCBI's taxonomy places the organism in Bacteria, Pseudomonadati, Pseudomonadota, Gammaproteobacteria, Vibrionales, Vibrionaceae.
GAUUAACCCAACUGUUCUUUUUCGACUUGUUUUUUCUCCAAUAGGUUUUGGAGGCUGACUCGUUUGCGGAAGAUAAGUCAAAAACGAACAGAAAGCCUCCCUCUAGGGAGGUUUUUUUAUU